UUUCCGUAGGUGAACCUGCGGAAGGAUCAUUCAUAAUAAGUGUUUUAUGGCACUUUUUAAAUCCAUAUCCACCUUGUGUGCAAUGUCAGUCGAUCUUCUUCAUGGAGAUCGACCAAACAUCAACCUUUAUUUUUUUAACUCUUUGUCUGAAAAAUAUUAUGAAUAAACAAUUCAAAAUACAACUUUCAACAACGGAUCUCUUGGCUCUCGCAUCGAUGAAGAACGCAGCGAAAUGCGAUACGUAAUGUGAAUUGCAGAAUUCAGUGAAUCAUCGAAUCUUUGAACGCAUAUUGCGCUCUUUGGUAUUCCGAAGAGCAUGCUUGUUUGAGUAUCAGUAAACACCUCAAAGCUUUUGGAUUUUUUAAUCGAAAAGCUUUGGACUUGAGCAAUCCCAACACCAAUCUUUUUGAGAUCGGUGGCGGGUUGCUUGAAAUGCAGGUGCAGCUGGACAUUCUCCUGAGCUAAAAGCAUAUUCAUUUAGUCCCGUCAAACGGAUUAUUACUUUUGCUGCAGCUAACAUAAAGGGAGUUUGACCGUAUUGGCUGACUGAUGCAGGAUUUCACAAGGGUCGGCAACGAUUCUUGUUAAACUCGAUCUCAAAUCAAGUAAGACUACCCGCUGAACUUAAGCAUAUCAAUAAGCGGAGGAAA
This 650-nucleotide ribosomal RNA is filed under the name uncultured fungus. Its description in RNAcentral is "eukaryotic LSU rRNA". The stretch from base 181 to 334 matches the Rfam family "5.8S ribosomal RNA". The record is from RNAcentral. Lineage: Eukaryota; Fungi.